AGCCCUGAGGUGAAUAAGCACAUUAGUUUGCAAAUCUAAAGGUGCAGGUUAGACCCCUGCCGGGGCUU
This 68-nucleotide transfer RNA is filed under the name Leiopotherapon unicolor (spangled perch). RNAcentral describes it as "tRNA-Cys". It matches the Rfam family "tRNA". Rfam says of the family: Transfer RNA (tRNA) molecules are approximately 80 nucleotides in length. Their secondary structure includes four short double-helical elements and three loops (D, anti-codon, and T loops). Lineage: Eukaryota; Metazoa; Chordata; Actinopteri; Centrarchiformes; Terapontidae. RNAcentral also lists the same sequence under 1 other name. The record is from RNAcentral.